Long non-coding RNA from Brassica napus (rape), 3391 nucleotides. RefSeq lists it as uncharacterized. The transcript has 2 exons. The record is from RefSeq and is a predicted model, not a curated record. NCBI's taxonomy places the organism in Eukaryota, Viridiplantae, Streptophyta, Magnoliopsida, Brassicales, Brassicaceae.
GUUGGUGGAGAUGAAAUCAUCCUCAUCGCCAGCCCAAUCGGCAUCUGAGAAGGCAUGUAUAGCCGAAGGUGUGUCCGCCCUGAGGAAGAUCCCAUGUGAUGGCGACCCGGCUAAGUAUCGGAGGAUUCUUUUUACAGCUUCCAAGUGCUGAUUGGUGGGACUGUGCAUAUACUGUGAGAGUCAAUUCACUGUGCAUAUUCUUUUUACAGCUCCUCAGCCUUCCUCUGUUGCUCUUCACCACCAUCACCUUUGCCUUCUCUCGCUUCUUCUCCUUCUUCUGGUCUUUUCAGUUCCAGUGGAGCUUUCUCAUCUCUGCUAAACUCGAGAGGUCGUUCUUGUCUGAGUCUUACCCGUGGCUUGAAGAGGAUGGUGGUUACUGACGAAUGCUUAGAACGCUUCCCUACACUCUCCACCGGUAUCCGCCUUACCGGAAAACGCAACCCUCUGCGACUGUGGAUUCAGAUUACUCGUCGAGAAGGAGCAGUAGCAACGAGCAGAGGGAGUCGAUUCUGCUUCCUGGAUGCGACUAUAACACUCUUGCUUACUCUUAUGGUCUUACCUCACACUCUUGCUACUGUUCUGGAAGGUUUUUCCUCUCUUCUUAAUAGGUAAAGGCUUAAGCUUUAUUGUUUCCUUUGAAGUUGAUUUGGUUCUUCCUCAGAAGGUUUGAAAGUAGGUUGAAGUUUGUUUGUUAUGAAUAUAUAAGUUUAAAGUUUGAGUCUUGCUUGUUGAUUAAUCCCUCUAAAUAGUCUCCAAACUCAUAACUCACCGUCAGAUCUGACGUCACCUCCGUUCGCUAAUUUAAUCAUUUUCCAAGUCUUAGAAACACCAAGGUCUCUGUCUUUGCUCUGUUCUUGGCUAAAGUUUGUCUUUUCCCUGUUCUUGUUUCACCUAUAUGCUCUAUGUUACAAUUUGAAGUCUUUAUUUGGCUAUAGUUUAUGUAUUUACUCUGUUUCUUGUCUGUUUUGCUCAUGAAGAAGACUAAAGUUUUUUGUCUUGAUUAAAGUAUGGUGCUUUGAUUGUUAUGACAGUGGAGAGGGAGCUUGGAACCAUGCUGAAUGCAUUUUUGGGGGUUGAUACACUUAAGCGAUGAAGAUGGUUUCUUUCUCGUAGAAGUUGAAGGUAUUAGCUGAUGAAAUCCGUACUGAGCUUCUUUCUGUGUUACGGAAGACCCAAAAGUCUGUGAAGCCUAGCUUGGCUGCGAUAGAGCUUACCCUUGCUCUGCAUUAUGUGUUCAUAUUCUGAAUUUCUGAUUUCUCUGUAUGCUUUUAUUUUUAAAGAUACAGACUUUGAAGACUGGAGAAUCCCAAAAGUGGUAGUUGAAUCCUAUGAUGCACCGGGACGGAUACGGGGACAGAAACGGGGACGGAAGCGGGGCGGAAAACGGGAAAAUUUAAAAAUUAUGGGUACGGGUACGGCAAAUAUAUACUAGUAAAAAAUAUAAAAUAUUUAUAAAAAAAUAAAUUUAUAUAGUGAAUCUAACAUAAUUAGAUAUAAUUUACUAUAAUAUGUCUAUUUUGCCAACUAAAAUUAGAAGCAAGAUAACAGUGACAGUUAAAAAAGAAUUGCACAAGCAUUAUGUCUCGUGAAAACUAGUCUUACUCAUAGCUAUGUUCUCUAACCGUCCCCAAGCCGUACCAGUGCUGUCCCCGUGAAGUACCCGUCCCCGAAACGUUUCCGGUACCGGUACGGCACCUAAAUAGACGUCCCCGUGCUACAUAGGUUGAAUCUACAAGUUCAGUGAAGAGAGGCGACCAUGAAGAUUGUGUUUAGAUUAGUUUCUGAGUUAGAUUAGGUUUAUUAUAUCUUGUUUAGUUCGAUAAACCAGUUGUAAUUUUGUAAACAAAUUUCGAUCUAUAAAAAACUUGUUUGUUUGUAUUUUGUGAUUUGAAAAAAAAAAACCUAAACCCUAAACAUGUUUUAAAUCUUUAAACAUAUAUUACAAAAUUUCAAUAUUUUCAUAACAGCUAUAAUCUUAAACUUAAAUUCAAAAUUUAGUCAUCUUAAAAGUCAAUAAGAACUUUUUUGCUUAUUUGAAUUUUGUAAUUAAACAAAAAAACCAAAAUCCUAAACCCUAAACAUGUUUAAAAUUCUAACAGAAUUUAAAAAAUUUCAAUCUUUUCAUAAUAUUAUUUUAAUCUUAAACUCAAAAUUUAAUCAUUUUAAAAAUCUAAUCUCAAAUUUAAAAUCAAAACUAUAAACACUAAAUUUUAAAUCUACACCCUAAAUCUAAUACCCUAAACCAGUAAUUUAAACCCUACAUAUAAAGUCAAAAAUCUAUAAGAUACACAUAUUACCCCAAACCAUAUACUCCAAAUUUAAUUAAUAAUAUAACUUCAAUCUUUUCAUAAUAUAAUUUCAAUCUUAAAUUUAAAGUCAAAGUUUAAUUAUUUUUAAAAAUAUUAUAUCAAAUUUAAAAUCUAAAUCUUAAAGCUACACCAUAAAUAUAAUGCCCUAAUCCCCAAAUUCAAACCCUAAAUAGAAAAUCAUAAAUAUAAUUACUACAAAUAAAAUCUUAAUACUUAUAUCAAACAUAAUUUUUUUUUAAAUUACAAACCAAAGUCAUCAAAAUAUUGAAAAUAGAACCACGAAAGAUAAUAAAGAAAAACAAAGAGGAAAAAGGAAAAAUCUAUUGGGUAACUAUUAAAAAAAAAAAAAAACUAUAGACCAAUAACCUCUCAUCACGCGGAUCACCUUUUGAACCGUAGGAUUCAAUUAAAUUAGUGGAUGAGAUUUUUUUAUUUUCUUUUCUCCUUUCUUUUUUUUUUCUCUUUUUCUCUCACAGAUCUCUCUCUUUCUCUUCUUGACCUCUGAUUCUUCCCUUCUCAUUUUUUUUCUCUUUCUCUCUCAGAGAUCUCUCUCUUUCUCUUCUCGACCUCUGAUUCUUCUCUUUCACUCUCUGUCUCUAUCUCUCAUCUUCUCACCAUCAACAUAUACGAAUCUGUCUUAACCCAUCAGCUCAAACGAAAUCUGUCUCCUCUAUUUCCGAAUUUGUGAAACAUGAGAUUUUAACAAGGAGACAGAAGAUUCGGCGGAGGAGUAGGAGAUGCGAUGAGCAGAUCGAACGGUGGCUCCAGCACCAGAUUGAAUCCUUGCUUCAGCAAUAGCUUCUAGAGCUAUUUGAGGAUUCUGUGUAGAAGAAGUGGUGUGUGACUGAAAGAUGGUGACGUUGGAGCGUUGUGGUGACGGAGACGACGGAUGCGCAACUGAUAUGCUGCGGUUUAUGUUUAGGUUUUGUUAAUUAGGUUUUGGUUAAUUAGGUUUGGUAUAAUGUUUUUUAAUUAAUUUUUGGUUUAAUGUGUUCUGUUGUAUUUGAUUUUUUAAUUCUGGUUUAGUGUAACAUUUAUUUGUAAUCUAAGUUUAAUUAAUAAAUAAUUUUUUUUAUUUUUAA